Molecule: long non-coding RNA, 308 nt
Filed under: Elaeis guineensis (African oil palm)
Lineage: Eukaryota; Viridiplantae; Streptophyta; Magnoliopsida; Arecales; Arecaceae
Description: long non-coding RNA (EGUI_LNC048693)
Source: RNAcentral
UUAAGGAUGUUUGUAUAUUGGGCUCUGGGUUUGAUCUUAUCAAAUCUGAUUUAGAUUUAGUCACUGGUGUCAGUUCUUUUACCUAUCAAACUUCAUCAAGCUUAACUUUAGAGGCACUUAUUUCUUCACUAAAAAUUUUUUUUUUUCAAAAAUUAUGUCUUACUGCUGACAAAUACCUUUCAUUCAGCAGGGAGGUAAAAGUAAUAACUCUUUAUUUCCUUGGGGUACCCAAUGAAAUUACACUUAUCGAACCUAAGUCUGAGCUUGUUGGUUUGUAAUCGUUUAACAUAAGCCAGACACUUCCAGAC